GCCUUCGUGGUGUAGUGGUCAGCCCGCGCGACGCGUAACCGAGAGGUCCGUGGUUCGAUUCCCGGCAAAGGCC
RNAcentral lists this transfer RNA (73 nucleotides) under Stegodyphus mimosarum. It matches the Rfam family "tRNA". Rfam says of the family: Transfer RNA (tRNA) molecules are approximately 80 nucleotides in length. Their secondary structure includes four short double-helical elements and three loops (D, anti-codon, and T loops). Further hydrogen bonds mediate the characteristic L-shaped molecular structure. tRNAs have two regions of fundamental functional importance: the anti-codon, which is responsible for specific mRNA codon recognition, and the 3' end, to which the tRNAs corresponding amino acid is attached (by aminoacyl-tRNA synthetases). tRNAs cope with the degeneracy of the genetic code in two manners: having more than one tRNA (with a specific anti-codon) for a particular amino acid; and 'wobble' base-pairing, i.e. permitting non-standard base-pairing at the 3rd anti-codon position. Lineage: Eukaryota; Metazoa; Arthropoda; Arachnida; Araneae; Eresidae. The record is from Rfam by way of RNAcentral.